Molecule: ribosomal RNA, 468 nt
Filed under: uncultured bacterium
Lineage: Bacteria
Description: partial 16S ribosomal RNA
Rfam family: Bacterial small subunit ribosomal RNA
Source: RNAcentral
GACGAACGCUGGCGGCGUGCUUAACACAUGCAAGUCGAACGGCAAGGCACUGCUUUUGUGGGGUGCUCGAGUGGCGAACGGGUGAGUAACACGAGAGUAACCUGCCCUUGACUUUGGGAUAACUUCAGGAAACUGGGGCUAAUAUCGGAUCGGAGAUCCUGCUGCAUGGUGGGCGUUGGAAAGUUUCGGCGGUUGGGGAUGGACUCGCGGCUUAUCAGCUUGCUGGUGGGGUAGUGGCUUACCCAGGCUUUGACGGGUAGCCGGCCUGAGAGGGUGACCGGCGACAAUGGUACUAAGAGAGGCCGCAGACUCCAACGGUGGGCAGCGGUGGGGAGUAUGGCACAAUGGGCGGAAGCCUGAGGCAGCGGCGCCGGGGGCGGAAUGACGUUCUGCUGGGUAAGAACCGCUGUCGGCUGAGACGAAGCGGGAGUGACGGUAACGAGUAAAGAAGCACCGGCUAACUACGUG